RNAcentral lists this unclassified non-coding RNA (1557 nucleotides) under Hevea brasiliensis (rubber tree). The record is from RNAcentral. Lineage: Eukaryota; Viridiplantae; Streptophyta; Magnoliopsida; Malpighiales; Euphorbiaceae.
AAACAGCAGUCGGAUACAGUUCUCUUAAAUUCCAAAAAUUAGAAAUGAUAUAUACAUUAUUCUUAUAAAGUGCCAUCAUCAAAUGAAAUCCAGAAUAACUACUGCUCUAUCUCUAUCGAAUACUUGGAAAGUAAACAACUUUGAACAUACUAUCAUGAUUUGGCAGCUUCUUCAUCAUCAACCUCACUAUCCCAUGAUAACUCUUCCUCCGCAGCACUCAUACGUUUCCUUAAAUCAGCUUUGUUCGGGCUUGUUCUCUCGGGUACCUUGAUCUCAUCACCACUUGCAAUAUCUUCAAUCUCAUCCCACCCAAGAUCAUCUCCCUCGUGCGAAGACACUUGGCUGGAAAUAACUGAAAAAUCACUGUUAUCAUUCUUACCUUCUGAACUCCCCUUAUCAUCCACUCUCCCUGCCAAAAUUCCUUUAACAUCCCCGCCAUCAUCACUUGUGAUCUCUAAAGCUGUUUCUUUCUCGUCUUCUCUACUUACCGAACUAUCCAUUUUCUUCACAACUUCUUCUUUUGCUACGUUUUCACUUGCAACACCGUUGCUCCCUUCUGUAUUCUCAUCAUCUUCAUCAUCAACAUCCCAACUCAAUUCCUCUUCUUCCUCACCCGAGAUCGCCCUAUUCACAAGCCUGACCCUUGCUUCAUCAGCUUUCCUUAUUCUAUAAACCUUGUAAAAAUAUCUACUCCAGAAUGUCUCGUGAUCAAUCCUACUUGGAACCAACUCGCUGUAUAUCUCAUUUAUUACACCAUUUUCCUUAAUCAAACCCUCAAUUUCCCCAUUCAUCUCCACUAAUACAAAUCCCAGUUUCCACUCAUUAUAAUCAAUCAUAUCCUCUGGUUCAUCGCAAUACGUUUUCGCAUCACACUGGGUUGCUCGAAUUGUUGCAUCGAUUCUACUAUAAGGUUUGGCAUUCAAGUUCAAAUUCUGCUCUAAACUACUACUUCUCCCUAAACUUCUCCUACUGCUAUUUUCAAAUAACUCACUGUCAGAAUCAUUAUCAAGGAUCGACUCCUUACCAUGAGCAAUAAUCUCCGAUACAGUGGAGCCGAUAUUAUCAAUAGCUUGUCCAACCGAUUCUAGCGAUUCCUGAGCAACGGCGGCGCCUGAUUCAAACCUAGCCGGCAAGUCCUUCACGGCUCGGCUAGCUACUUCUCGGAUUGUAGCGGUUUCAAUUUUCAACCCGGAGCUGAAUUCCUCGAAAUCGCGGCGGUAGUUUUGAACAACGGAUUCCGAUUUCGAUGCUAUGGUUCUGAACAAAGUUGAACCGAAAGUCCAUGCGUUCGUUAUGGCUGGAACAUCAUGGUUAGGGUUAGGGUUUGGAGAUUCUGGUUGAGAUUGAGAAUUUGAUGGAGAAGUAGGGGCAUCUUCGGUAUCGGAAAAUUCUGGAUCGUCGGCGAAUACGGAUUUGAAGAAAUCCAUGAGGUGAGAAAUUGAAAAGUUGAGUUUCGAUUUAUUAUAUAUUGCUGUUGAACAAACGCUGUAGGGUCUAAACCUUCGCCGGAAAAUUCUCAACGGCGGCGGAGACGUACAGGCGAUAAUCUCCGAUGGA